RNAcentral lists this ribosomal RNA (468 nucleotides) under uncultured bacterium. RNAcentral describes it as "partial 16S ribosomal RNA". It matches the Rfam family "Bacterial small subunit ribosomal RNA", at positions 28 to 507 of the family's 1533-position model. The record is from RNAcentral.
GACGAACGCUGGCGGCGUGCUUAACACAUGCAAGUCGAACGGAAAGGCCCUGCUUUUGUGGGGUGCUCGAGUGGCGAACGGGUGAGUAACACGUGAGUAAAAUGCCCUUGACUUUGGGGUAACUUCAGGAAACUGGGGCUAAUACCGGAUAGGAGCUACUGCUGCAUGGUGGGGGUUGGAAAGUUUCGGCGGUUGUGGAUGGACUCGCGGCUUAUCAGCCUGUUGGUGGGGUAGUGGCUUACCAAGGCUUUGACGGGUAGCCGGCCUGGGAGGGUGACCGGCCACAUUGGUACUGAGAUACGGCCCAGAAUCCUACGGGAGGCAGCGGUGGGGAAUAUUGCGCAAUGGGCGGAAGCCUGAUGCAGCGACGCCGCGUGCGGAAUGACGGCCUUCGGGUUGUAAACCGCUUUCGCAGGUGACGAAGCGUGAGUGACGGUAAUGGGUAAAGAAGCACCGGCUAACUACGUG